AGCAACACCACAUUGAAAAACCGGCAUCUGUACGAUCACCGAAGUUAAGCAACAUGGAGCUUGGUCAGUACCUAGACGGGUUACUACUUGGGAAUACCAGGUGCUGUAU
Molecule: non-coding RNA, 109 nt
Organism: Acanthosepion pharaonis
Lineage: Eukaryota; Metazoa; Mollusca; Cephalopoda; Sepiida; Sepiidae
Source: the annotation of a GenBank genome assembly